GUAGUUGUGGCCGAGUGGUUAAGGCGAUGGACUUGAAAUCCAUUGGGGUCUCCCCGCGCAGGUUCAAAUCCUGCCAACUACG
RNAcentral lists this transfer RNA (82 nucleotides) under Ameiurus melas (black bullhead). It matches the Rfam family "tRNA". Rfam says of the family: Transfer RNA (tRNA) molecules are approximately 80 nucleotides in length. Their secondary structure includes four short double-helical elements and three loops (D, anti-codon, and T loops). The record is from Rfam by way of RNAcentral. Lineage: Eukaryota; Metazoa; Chordata; Actinopteri; Siluriformes; Ictaluridae.